Molecule: long non-coding RNA, 1293 nt
Organism: Ctenopharyngodon idella (grass carp)
Lineage: Eukaryota; Metazoa; Chordata; Actinopteri; Cypriniformes; Xenocyprididae
Exons: 3
Source: RefSeq, a predicted model, not a curated record
UAUUUUUCCUGCUGUCCCCGUUUCCUCAUUUGUUGGAGGUUUUCAUGCGUGUUCAUUUCGUUUCUCACGCUUCCCAUCCAAAAACGACGGGAUAGUUUAUGUCUUUGGUACAGAAGGCGUAUCUUUAUCUGGACACAAAAUGAGCAUCAUUUACUAUAUUCCUCUGUUCAAUCAAAACUGACAUUGAAGCAGCAUGGAAAAUCCAUGACACACAUCAUACAUGCUUCUGAUUAGAUGACUACCCAAACCGAGCAAAGACAAAAAGGGCAAUAGACUGACAGGGAAGGGAUACCAUAAUGAAGAAGAUGUGAAUUUCUCAUGGCUAUGUGCCACUGAAGAGGAAAAUAUGGCAAGUAUUCAGACGGGCAUAAACACAGACUGCUAAAACACGUGGGUCCUGAGUGAGAGGGCUUCUAUGAACUCAAUGACCCUCCUAAUGUUACUCAAGACCUACAAACUUCAGCAAACAAGUGGAAAUACAAUGACUAUUUAUGAUAAAUUCGAUCAUGAAUAUCAGUGAUUUUAAUGUGUUUUUAUUAGGCCAUUAAGUUUCCUACAGACCACGGCAGCAGACCAGUUUCAUAGCUACUUAUGUAUUCAUGUAAUUAGUAAUAUUUGAAUAGUCACUCUUAAUUUACUGUGAUACUGUGAAGCGUGUAAUUGCUAGUCACCAAAUGAAAUUAAAAAAAUAUAUAAUUUGUGUUUUAAAGCAGGUUUGGAUGGUCAAGCAGAUAGCCCUGCCCCAAACUCACACUAUUGGGAUAGAGAGGAAAGGGAGGCAAUCAAAAAAUUGGAUGAGAAAAUAAUCCAUAUUACAAAAAUAAAACGGUGCAAAUUUUACAAAAUGCGACAUUAAAAAGUGUAUAAAUCAUUGUGUUUCUAAAGAAACAGCAGGAGUCCACAUCUCUCUUGCCUCCCCUGAGCCCAUUGAGUUUUAAUAGACCCCCUAAAGCAUGCAGUGAGUUUUGUGGGGGGUAAUUGAGAAUGAAUGGGGUAAAGUCACAUGAGAGGAGGUAAUGCCUCCAUCGCACUAUGAUUGGAUAUGUUUGGUUAUGAUUCGCUAUGAUUGGUUCAUGUGAUAAAUCCUGUAUCUUGUUUUCGCUCACGUUCACAAAUCAGUUUGAAUAAACAAAAUGAUGGCAUUGAUGAGAAGACCAUAUUACUUAAACAACUCACCCACUUGAACUUGAAAUGGCCUGAAAACAUGAUGACAUGAAGUUUUUUAGUGAGUGUUUACUGAGCUAGAUGACUGACGAAAAUAAGUUAAUAAGACUAUUAAAAAGUCAACUUAGU